RNAcentral lists this transfer RNA (82 nucleotides) under Albula glossodonta (roundjaw bonefish). It matches the Rfam family "tRNA". From Rfam's summary of the family: Transfer RNA (tRNA) molecules are approximately 80 nucleotides in length. Their secondary structure includes four short double-helical elements and three loops (D, anti-codon, and T loops). The record is from Rfam by way of RNAcentral. RNAcentral also lists the same sequence under 1 other name. Lineage: Eukaryota; Metazoa; Chordata; Actinopteri; Albuliformes; Albulidae.
GGUAGCGUGGCCGAGCGGUCUAAGGCGCUGGAUUUAGGCUCCAGUCUCUUCGGAGGCGAGGGUUCGAAUCCCUCCGCUGCCA